This is a long non-coding RNA of Boleophthalmus pectinirostris (great blue-spotted mudskipper), 985 nucleotides long. RefSeq lists it as uncharacterized. Lineage: Eukaryota; Metazoa; Chordata; Actinopteri; Gobiiformes; Gobiidae. The record is from RefSeq and is a predicted model, not a curated record. The transcript is spliced from 4 exons.
UUAGUUUGGAGUCAGAUCUGACUUUGUCUCUAACUUUCUGUUAUGGGACUUGAGACGGUGCUUCAGACUUUCAGUGAGAGAUGUUGACAUGAACACUAAUGUGUCACAUCUAAAUUACACUGAUAUUGACUAUGAACACCAUCAUAAAUUGAUUAUUAUAUUUUAAAUGUUGUGGUAAAAGUAAAUGUAGUAGAGUAUUGUGUAUUAACAGCAGUGAAAUACGUCUCAUGUUCAUACUCAGGCUUAUACUAAAACAAAAGAGUUCAGUUUUACUGCGCUAAAGUAUUUCCUAUGAGUUAAAUCAUGUUUUUCAUCUCUGUUUCAGAAUAUACUAUGGUUAAUAAGAAGAUGGACAUAAGGGCCUGAUAAAGACCCUCUGGAGAAUUCCCUCUGCUGGGCCAAGUUCCAAAAAUGUAGAGACAGACCCUCUAACCUGCUGUGGUGGAGUUUAAAGACUGACCCUCUAUGCUGUGAGAAAGGGGAAGCCCAGAGCUGGACACUGACAGACUGGAUCUUCACCAGUAGGACUGAAGAGGAGCCAGACUCACUACACCUCUGCCUCAAAACCUCUGCCUCAGACUGAAGCUAAAGACAGAGGCUCUGAAGCUCCCACACUGCACACUCUAUAAGAACAACCAUCCAUCUAAUUGUUCUGUGGUGGUAAACACAAGUUAAGUUUUAGUUUGAACAGUAUGGUAUGGCUACACUCUGUCUCAUCUGUCCAGGCUUUUACUCAUAUAGCUUAUAUUUGUUUUUUGCCAUUUAAAAAAAAACAAAAACUUUGCUUAACUUGAAUUAUUUUUAGUAAAAACUGUAAAUUGUCAUUUUCAUAUUAAGAAUGAAGCAUUGGUUAACUUAAAGGGUAUAUAAGUCCUAUAACAUUAAUAAUGAUUAUUCAUGUCCUAAGAUUUCUAAUUAAUGAUUUAAAUAAAUAUUGUUUACAAUGUAAAAAAAAAAAAAUAACUAAUGAGAUUUAGUGAUAGGA